RNAcentral lists this ribosomal RNA (391 nucleotides) under Salmonella enterica subsp. enterica serovar Bareilly. RNAcentral's name for it is "partial 23S ribosomal RNA". It matches the Rfam family "Bacterial large subunit ribosomal RNA", at positions 911 to 1298 of the family's 2925-position model. The record is from RNAcentral. Lineage: Bacteria; Pseudomonadati; Pseudomonadota; Gammaproteobacteria; Enterobacterales; Enterobacteriaceae.
UGUUUCGGCUAGGGGGCCAUCCCGGCUUACCAACCCGAUGCAAACUGCGAAUACCGGAGAAUGUUAUCACGGGAGACACACGGCGGGUGCUAACGUCCGUCGUGAAGAGGGAAACAACCCAGACCGCCAGCUAAGGUCCCAAAGUCAUGGUUAAGUGGGAAACGAUGUGGGAAGGCCCAGACAGCCAGGAUGUUGGCUUAGAAGCAGCCAUCAUUUAAAGAAAGCGUAAUAGCUCACUGGUCGAGUCGGCCUGCGCGGAAGAUGUAACGGGGCUAAACCAUGCACCGAAGCUGCGGCAGCGACGUUUAUGCGUUGUUGGGUAGGGGAGCGUUCUGUAAGCCUGCGAAGGUGGCCUGUGAGGGUUGCUGGAGGUAUCAGAAGUGCGAAUGCU